UGCANGUCGNNCGGUAAGGUCUCUUCGGAGAUACACGAGCGGCGGACGGGUGAGUAACACGUAGGAAUCUGCCCCAGAGCGGGGGACAACCAAGAGAAAUCUUGGCUAAUACCCCAUACGACUUCGGUUAAAAGAUUUAUCACUUUGGGAGGAGCCCGCGUUUGAUUAGCUUGAUGGUGUGGUAAAAGCACACCAUGACGACGAUCAAUAGCUGGUCUGAGAGGAUGAUCAGCCACAAUGGGACUGAGAUACGGCCCAUACUCCUACGGGAGGCAGCAGUAGGGAAUCUUGCGCAAUGGGCGAAAGCCUGACGCAGCAAUACCGUGUGCGGGAAGACGCUCUGUGGAGUGUAAACCGCUGUCAGAUGGGACGAACACAAUGACUGUACCAUCAAAGGAAGCACCGGCUAACUCUGUGCCAGCAGCCGCGGUAAUACAGAGGGUGCAAGCGUUGUCCGGAUUUAUUGGGCGUAAAGCGUCUGUAGGUGGUUUAGUAAGUCUGAAGUGAAAGAACGGAGCUCAACUCCGUCCCCGCUCCAGAAACUAUUAAACUAGAGAAUGUUAGAAGUAAAUGGAAUUUCCAGUGUAGCGGUGAAAUGCGUAGAUNUUGGAAGGAACACCAGANGCGAAAGCGGUUUACUGGGACNUUUCUGACACUGAGAGACGAAAGCGUGGGUAGCGAAAGGGANUAGAUACCCCUGUAGUCCACGCCGUAAACGAUGAGUACUAGUUGUCAUGGGAAUCGACCCCCGUGGNAACGAANCUANCGCGUUNAGUACUCCGCCUGANUAGUACGUACGCAAGUAUGAAACUCAAAGGAAUUGA
This 824-nucleotide ribosomal RNA is filed under the name uncultured bacterium. RNAcentral describes it as "bacterial SSU rRNA". It matches the Rfam family "Bacterial small subunit ribosomal RNA", at positions 56 to 913 of the family's 1533-position model. The record is from RNAcentral.